CUCAGUUCGGAUUGGAGUCUGCAACUCGACUCCAUGAAGCUGGAUUCGCUAGUAAUCGCGCAUCAGCCAUGGCGCGGUGAAUACGUUCCCGGGCCUUGUACACACCGCCCGUCAAGCCAUGGAAGCCGGGAGUGCCUGAAGUGCGUGAGCGCAAGCAGCGCCCUAAGGUAAAACCGGUGACUGGGGCUAAGUCGUAACAAGGUAAC
RNAcentral lists this ribosomal RNA (206 nucleotides) under uncultured bacterium. RNAcentral's name for it is "partial 16S ribosomal RNA". It matches the Rfam family "Bacterial small subunit ribosomal RNA", at positions 1287 to 1500 of the family's 1533-position model. The record is from RNAcentral.